Termitomyces sp. 'cryptogamus' is the source of this 99-nucleotide non-coding RNA. NCBI's taxonomy places the organism in Eukaryota, Fungi, Basidiomycota, Agaricomycetes, Agaricales, Lyophyllaceae. The record is from the annotation of a GenBank genome assembly.
GGGGGCAUAGCUCAGCUGGGAGAGCAGCAGACUGAAGUAUAGUGACUGAUCCGUGCAUUUAAAUUCUGAAGGUUCGGCGUUUGAUUCGCGGUGCCCCCA